AGAGUUUGAUCAUGGCUCAGAUUGAACGCUGGCGGCAUGCCUUACACAUGCAAGUCGAACGGCAGCGCGGGGCAACCUGGCGGCGAGUGGCGAACGGGUGAGUAAUAUAUCGGAACGUGCCCUGGAGUGGGGGAUAACGCAGCGAAAGUUGCGCUAAUACCGCAUACGAUCUAAGGAUGAAAGCAGGGGACCGCAAGGCCUUGUGCUCCUGGAGCGGCCGAUAUCUGAUUAGCUAGUUGGUGGGGUAAAGGCCUACCAAGGCAUCGAUCAGUAGCUGGUCUGAGAGGACGACCAGCCACACUGGAACUGAGACACGGUCCAGACUCCUACGGGAGGCAGCAGUGGGGAAUUUUGGACAAUGGGCGAAAGCCUGAUCCAGCAAUGCCGCGUGAGUGAAGAAGGCCUUCGGGUUGUAAAGCUCUUUUGUCAGGGAAGAAACGGUGUGGGCUAAUAUCCCGCACUAAUGACGGUACCUGAAGAAUAAGCACCGGCUAACUACGUGCCAGCAGCCGCGGUAAUACGUAGGGUGCAAGCGUUAAUCGGAAUUACUGGGCGUAAAGCGUGCGCAGGCGGUUUUGUAAGUCUGUCGUGAAAGCCCCGGGCUCAACCUGGGAAUUGCGAUGGAGACUGCAAGGCUUGAAUCUGGCAGAGGGGGGUAGAAUUCCACGUAGCAGUGAAAUGCGUAGAGAUGUGGAGGAACACCGAUGGCGAAGGCAGCCCCCUGGGUCAAGAUUGACGCUCAUGCACGAAAGCGUGGGGAGCAAACAGGAUUAGAUACCCUAGUAGUCC
Molecule: ribosomal RNA, 789 nt
Filed under: uncultured bacterium
Lineage: Bacteria
Description: bacterial SSU rRNA
Rfam family: Bacterial small subunit ribosomal RNA
Source: RNAcentral